AACGAACGCUGGCGGCAGGCCUAAAACAUGCAAGUCGAACGCCCCGCAAGGGGAGUGGCGCACGGGUGAGUAACGCGUGGGAACGUGCCCUUCACUACGGGACAACGUCGGGAAACUGACGCUAAUACCGUAUAAUGACUCCGGUCCAAAGUUUUAUCGGUGAAGGAGCGGCCCGCGUCUGAUUAGCUAGUUGGUGAGGUAAAGGCUUACCAAGGCGACGAUCAGUAGCAGGUCUGAGAGGAUGAUCUGCCACACUGGGACUGAGACACGGCCCAGACUCCUACGGGAGGCAGCAGUUAGGAAUAUUGGACAAUGGGCGAAAGCCUGAUCCAGCCAUGCCGCGUGUGUGAUGAAGGCCCUAGGGUUGUAAAGCACUUUCGUUGGGGAUGAUAAUGACCGUACCCGAAGAAGAAGCACCGGCUAACUUCGUGCCAGCCGCCGCGGUAA
This 447-nucleotide ribosomal RNA is filed under the name uncultured bacterium. RNAcentral's name for it is "partial 16S ribosomal RNA". It matches the Rfam family "Bacterial small subunit ribosomal RNA", at positions 29 to 523 of the family's 1533-position model. The record is from RNAcentral.